This 78-nucleotide ribosomal RNA is filed under the name Chinchilla lanigera (long-tailed chinchilla). Lineage: Eukaryota; Metazoa; Chordata; Mammalia; Rodentia; Chinchillidae. The record is from RNAcentral.
UGCUACACCCAUACUGCCCUGAAUUUACCACAUCUCACCUGAUCUCAGAAGCUAAGCAGGGUUGGACCUGGUUAGUAU